This 419-nucleotide ribosomal RNA is filed under the name bacterium. Its description in RNAcentral is "partial 16S ribosomal RNA". It matches the Rfam family "Bacterial small subunit ribosomal RNA", at positions 355 to 776 of the family's 1533-position model. The record is from RNAcentral.
UGGGGGAUAUUGCACAAUGGGCGAAAGCCUGAUGCAGCGACGCCGCGUGGGGGAUGAAGGCCUUCGGGUUGUAAACUUCUUUUGCUCUGAACAAGGCAUGCUAAUGGGUGUGUUGAGUGUAGGGGUUGAUUAGCGCCGGCUAACUACGUGCCAGCAGCCGCGGUAAUACGUAGGGCGCGAGCGUUGUCCGGAAUUAUUGGGCGUAAAGGGCUUGUAGGUGGCUGGUUGCGUCUGUCGUGAAAGCUCAUGGCUUAACUGUUGGUUUGCGGUGGGUACGGGCUGGCUUGAGUGCGGUAGGGGAGGCGGGAAUUCCUGGUGUAGCGGUGGAAUGCGCAGAUGUCAGGAGGAAUACCGGUGGCGAAGGCGGGUCUCUGGGCUGUUACUGACACUGAGGAGCGAAAGCAUGGGGAGCGAACAGG